CAAAUAGCUCAGUUGGGAGAGCGUAAGACUGAAGAUCUUAAUGUCCCUGGUUCGAUCCCAGGUUU
This 65-nucleotide transfer RNA is filed under the name Rhodella violacea. It matches the Rfam family "tRNA", at positions 5 to 66 of the family's 71-position model. Rfam says of the family: Transfer RNA (tRNA) molecules are approximately 80 nucleotides in length. Their secondary structure includes four short double-helical elements and three loops (D, anti-codon, and T loops). Lineage: Eukaryota; Rhodophyta; Rhodellophyceae; Rhodellales; Rhodellaceae. The record is from RNAcentral.